CAUGCAAGUCGAGCGGUAGAGAGAAGCUUGCUUCUCUUGAGAGCGGCGGACGGGUGAGUAAUGCCUAGGAAUCUGCCUGGUAGUGGGGGAUAACGCUCGGAAACGGACGCUAAUACCGCAUACGUCCUACGGGAGAAAGCAGGGGACCUUCGGGCCUUGCGCUAUCAGAUGAGCCUAGGUCGGAUUAGCUAGUUGGUGAGGUAAUGGCUCACCAAGGCGACGAUCCGUAACUGGUCUGAGAGGAUGAUCAGUCACACUGGAACUGAGACACGGUCCAGACUCCUACGGGAGGCAGCAGUGGGGAAUAUUGGACAAUGGGCGAAAGCCUGAUCCAGCCAUGCCGCGUGUGUGAAGAAGGUCUUCGGAUUGUAAAGCACUUUAAGUUGGGAGGAAGGGCAUUAACCUAAUACGUUGGUGUCUUGACGUUACCGACAGAAUAAGCACCGGCUAACUCUGUGCCAGCAGCCGCGGUAAUACAGAGGGUGCAAGCGUUAAUCGGAAUUACUGGGCGUAAAGCGCGCGUAGGUGGUUCGUUAAGUUGGAUGUGAAAUCCCCGGGCUCAACCUGGGAACUGCAUUCAAAACUGACGAGCUAGAGUAUGGUAGAGGGUGGUGGAAUUUCCUGUGUAGCGGUGAAAUGCGUAGAUAUAGGAAGGAACACCAGUGGCGAAGGCGACCACCUGGACUGAUACUGACACUGAUGUGCGAAAGCGUGGGGAGCAAACAGGAUUAGAUACCCUGGUAGUCCACGCCGUAAACGAUGUCAACUAGCCGUUGGGAGCCUUGAGCUCUUAGUGGCGCAGCUAACGCAUUAAGUUGACCGCCUGGGGAGUACGGCCGCAAGGUUAAAACUCAAAUGAUUUGACGGGGGCCCGCACAAGCGGUGGAGCAUGUGGUUUAAUUCGAAGCAAC
Molecule: ribosomal RNA, 911 nt
Filed under: Pseudomonas sp. UA-JF1518
Lineage: Bacteria; Pseudomonadati; Pseudomonadota; Gammaproteobacteria; Pseudomonadales; Pseudomonadaceae
Description: bacterial SSU rRNA
Rfam family: Bacterial small subunit ribosomal RNA
Source: RNAcentral